AGCUUUGCACAGGGGCAGUAUCGUAGCCAAUGAGGUUUAUCCGUGGUGCGAUGAUUUCUAAUUGGAAAAAAAAAAUCUAUCAUUAUUCAUCAGGAACAUACAACCACCAGAAUUAACCCAACAUUGUUCUUGGUUUCUAAGUCUGUUCGGUAAAUCUUUUC
This 161-nucleotide small nuclear RNA is filed under the name Myotis davidii. RNAcentral describes it as "U4 spliceosomal RNA". The stretch from base 1 to 82 matches the Rfam family "U4 spliceosomal RNA". Rfam says of the family: U4 small nuclear RNA (U4 snRNA) is a component of the major U2-dependent spliceosome. The structure of U4 snRNA from yeast and human has been reported. U4 snRNA presents a k-turn RNA motif in the 5p-SL related to recognition of Snu13 protein. The record is from Rfam by way of RNAcentral. Lineage: Eukaryota; Metazoa; Chordata; Mammalia; Chiroptera; Vespertilionidae.